This is a long non-coding RNA of Melanotaenia boesemani (Boeseman's rainbowfish), 678 nucleotides long. RefSeq lists it as uncharacterized. Lineage: Eukaryota; Metazoa; Chordata; Actinopteri; Atheriniformes; Melanotaeniidae. The transcript has 2 exons. The record is from RefSeq and is a predicted model, not a curated record.
UUCACUUUGGAUGGGUGGAUGGAUGGAUGGAUGGAUGUGUGGUGAGAGACCUCAGGUGACAGCAAUCAGGGUAGUUCCCGUUAAUAGGACUGAUCACGAAUGACGUCAAAAUGCUAUUUUUAGAACAGCGUACUGCGCAGGCGCCGCCGCCAUAUUGGAUUCGGACAAACAACCUGUAGAGCGUGUAUACUGUGUUUGUACGAGCAAAGUUGCAUUCCGAAUAGCCGAAUAUUUCUUUAACAAAACCAUUAUGGUAACAACUAAACACUGCUGCUUCGGUGUCUGCCGAAGUGACUCGCAAUAUAGUGACCGUGAACAUAUGAAGGGAGUGUUUUUCAUUCCAUUUCCAAAGCCCGGAAGAGAACCAGAGAAAUGCCAACGUUGGGUACGAGCUUGUAAACGGGAGGGAUUCACUGAGAAAAAUGUGACAAAGGAUACAUACAUUUGCUCUCUGCAUUUCCUCGGUGGAAAAGGGCCAACAAUUGAUGAUCCAGACCCAAUACCAGCAACAACAUCUGGACAGGUGGAGAAAAUAGCCCGCAAAAGGAAAGCUCCUACCCAAAGAAAUGAGGCUGUUUCUGAAGCAAAGAGAAAGAGGAAAAGAUUGACCCACAACAACACUCCAUCGUCCAUUAAUUGUAAUAGAAAUGAAGUUCAAAUAAAAACAUUUCAGAUGCA